Passer domesticus (house sparrow) is the source of this 465-nucleotide long non-coding RNA. RefSeq lists it as uncharacterized. The record is from RefSeq and is a predicted model, not a curated record. Lineage: Eukaryota; Metazoa; Chordata; Aves; Passeriformes; Passeridae. The transcript has 4 exons.
UUGGGAGGGAGCUCAUCCUGUCCAGCUGCUCUGCCCAAGGGCUGUGACACAGUCCCAGCCCAGCUGAUCUCACAAGCUGGGACGUGAAGGGAUGGAGAGCAGCUCUGCCUAGAAGUAUUGGGGGUACUGCUAGAAGAGAGGCUGGGCAUGAGGCAGCCAUGUGCAUCGAAGGGAGAGUGCCCAGCAAAUUGAAGGCAGUGAUUCCCCACCUCUGCUCACCUGAACCUGCUGGUGAAGGUGGUGCAGCUUCCCAAGCCAUGUCCAGGACGGAGCCUCUGGGAGAUGCUGAGGGUGUGUCUGCAGGGAGGACUGCUCCAGCUCCUUUGCUGAUUCCUACACAGAAGCCUGGCUCCCAUGGCAGGGGUCCUCCGCAGGCGAAGAACAAAGCUACAGGACACCAGAAACCCCAGGAGCCAUCCGAAAACAUAAGGCAAAUGCUGAAGGAAAUGCAGCAGGCAGGACAAG